AACUAACAUUGGGUUUCAAACUUGACUAUUCCUUGUCAAUUUGUUUCUUUUUCCUCUCUACAGAUAAUAUUGUCAGAAAUUAUGCCGCUUUUGAAGAGAUAAACUGAACUCUUUUGAUUCUGUGAGGUUAUUAAAGAAUAUUAAUUUUCAAAUCACGGUAAAAUCUUGAUUCAGCAACACAUGAGGAUAAUCAUUGUGUCCAUGGAAACCUUGGGAAGCAGUUGAAAGCCUGGUCCCUCUUGCCUGGAGCAUUAACACAACGUGGCUGCAAAGUUAGUCCUUUCCCACUACCAUCUCCUGAAUACUGGGACUAACUACACGUAUGCACGAACCUGCCCAUCUUUGCCUCUGUUAACAGCUGCCACUGUCUUUUCACGACAUGAUGGCUGACUUAAGUGAGUGGAAAAAUCAUAGGUGGUGUAGGGUAUCUUUUCGUUGACCCUCUUUUGGCUAGACUACAAACGGCUUUUUUUUCUUGGGUGCUACACGGGGUUUUGGACCU
Molecule: long non-coding RNA, 502 nt
Filed under: Mus spicilegus (steppe mouse)
Lineage: Eukaryota; Metazoa; Chordata; Mammalia; Rodentia; Muridae
Description: lncRNA (ENSMSIG00000022961.1)
Source: RNAcentral